RNAcentral lists this unclassified non-coding RNA (299 nucleotides) under plant metagenome. RNAcentral describes it as "partial contains small subunit ribosomal RNA, internal transcribed spacer 1, and 5.8S ribosomal RNA". The record is from RNAcentral.
UUUCCGUAGGUGAACCUGCGGAAGGAUCAUUAUCGAAUUUCGAGGGGAAGGAAGAUGAGGAGUGGAGACUGUCGCUGGCUUUCCCGCCUGGGAAGCAUGAGCACGCCUUGCUUUUCGUUGACCUUUCUCUUACUCUCACACCUGUGCACCCAUUGUAGGUCCUCGAAAGAGGAUCUAUGUUUUUAUCAUCACACGCAUCGUAUGUCCAUAGAAUGUAACAUGAUCGUCGAUCGACCUCGCGGUCGGGUGGCGGUCUAAAUAAAUAAAUACAACUUUCAGCAACGGAUCUCUUGGCUCUC